GACGGAGGGUGCUAGCGUUGUUCGGAAUGACUGGGCGUAAAGGGCGCGUAGGCGGUUUUAUCAGUCAGGCGUGAAAGCCCCGGGCUUAACCUGGGAACUGCGUUUGAUACUGUAGAACUUGAGAAUGGAAGAGGAAAGCGGAAUUCCUAGUGUAGAGGUGAAAUUCGUAGAUAUUAGGAGGAACACCAGAGGCGAAGGCGGCUUUCUGGUCCAUUACUGACGCUGAGGCGCGAAAGCGUGGGGAGCAAAC
This 250-nucleotide ribosomal RNA is filed under the name uncultured bacterium. Its description in RNAcentral is "partial 16S ribosomal RNA". It matches the Rfam family "Bacterial small subunit ribosomal RNA", at positions 524 to 773 of the family's 1533-position model. The record is from RNAcentral.